RNAcentral lists this ribosomal RNA (163 nucleotides) under Leohumicola sp. RNAcentral's name for it is "partial small subunit ribosomal RNA". It matches the Rfam family "Eukaryotic small subunit ribosomal RNA", at positions 1639 to 1799 of the family's 1831-position model. The record is from RNAcentral. Lineage: Eukaryota; Fungi; Ascomycota; Leotiomycetes.
CGUUGAUUACGUCCCUGCCCUUUGUACACACCGCCCGUCGCUACUACCGAUUGAAUGGCUCAGUGAGGCUUUCGGACUGGCCUAGGAAGAUUGGCAACGCCCAUCUAGGGCCGGAAAGUUGUUCAAACUUGGUCAUUUAGAGGAAGUAAAAGUCGUAACAAGG